AUUGAACGCUGGCGGCAGGCCUAACACAUGCAAGUCGAGCGGAAGAAGGGAGCUUGCUCGUGGAUUCAGCGGCGGACGGGUGAGUAAUGCCUAGGAAUCUGCCUGGUAGUGGGGGAUAACGUCCGGAAAUGGGCGCUAAUACCGCAUACGUGCUGAGGGAGUAAGGGGGGGAUCAUCGGACCUUACGCUAUCAGAUGAGCCUAGGUCGGAUUAGCUAGUUGGUGGGGUAACGGCCUACCAAGGCGACGAUCCGUAACUGGUCUGAGAGGAUGAUCAGUCACACUGGAACUGAGACACGGUCCAGACUCCUACGGGAGGCAGCAGUGGGGAAUAUUGGACAAUGGGCGAAAGCCUGAUCCAGCCAUGCCGCGUGUGUGAAGAAGGUCUUCGGAUUGUAAAGCACUUUAAUUUGGGAGGAAGGGCAGUAAGUUAAUACCUUGCUGUUUUGACGUUACCAACAGAAUAAGCACCGGCUAACUUCGUG
This 484-nucleotide ribosomal RNA is filed under the name uncultured bacterium. RNAcentral describes it as "partial 16S ribosomal RNA". It matches the Rfam family "Bacterial small subunit ribosomal RNA", at positions 30 to 507 of the family's 1533-position model. The record is from RNAcentral.